RNAcentral lists this ribosomal RNA (468 nucleotides) under uncultured bacterium. Its description in RNAcentral is "partial 16S ribosomal RNA". It matches the Rfam family "Bacterial small subunit ribosomal RNA", at positions 28 to 507 of the family's 1533-position model. The record is from RNAcentral.
GACGAACGCUGGCGGCGUGCUUAACACAUGCAAGUCGAACGGAAAGGCCCUGCUUUUGUGGGGUGCUCGAGUGGCGAACGGGUGAGUAACACGUGAGUAACCUGCCCUUGACUUUGGGAUAACUUCAGGAAACUGGGGCUAAUACCGGAUAGGAGCUCCUGCUGCAUGGUGGGGGUUGGAAAGUUUCGGCGGUUGGGGAUGGACUCGCGGCUUAUCAGCUUGUUGGUGGGGUAGUGGCUUACCAAGGCUUUGACGGGUAGCCGGCCUGAGAGGGUGACCGGCGACAUUGGGACUGAGAGACGGCCCAGAAUACUACGGGAGGCAGCAGUGGGGAAUAUUGCACAAUGGGCGGAAGCCUGAUGCAGCAACGCCGCGUGCGGGAUGACGGCCUUCGGGUUGUAAACCGCUUUCGCCUGUGACGAAGCGUGAGUGACGGUAAUGGGUAAAGAAGCACCGGCUAACUACGUG